Molecule: long non-coding RNA, 1451 nt
Filed under: Numida meleagris (helmeted guineafowl)
Lineage: Eukaryota; Metazoa; Chordata; Aves; Galliformes; Numididae
Description: lncRNA (ENSNMEG00000006085.1)
Source: RNAcentral
UGCCUCAUUAUCUGGUACUGUUUUAAGUAAAUUAAAUGAUCCCUUCUACUGACUUCACCUGGAAGUCCCUGUGGCAGGCUUUGUUCUUUCCGGUGAGCCAAGCUCUGAGCUGUGGGAGGCAUUAGCAGAUGCAGGUGGCAGAGUAAUUGCAGUCCCCUUGCACAACUCUGUGAUGAUACCAGCUCAGCAUUGCCUUUAGAGCGAGUAACACAGAAUGGAGAAUGACAUUUUCCCCAGCCCAGCCUUCUCACAGCAGGCAACAGAGAGAAGAAAAAGUUCUAAAAUCCCACCUCUUAUGAGAAAUAUGUGUUAGUGCAAGCCAUAUGGAAAGGUGCCAUGAGACACCCAUUCGGUGAAGACAUUUGAAGCUGGGCAAAGAAUGUGUACAGUGUAUCCUGGAGACAAGGUAUGCCAGAGGCAGGACCAAUUCAAACAACGCUGCAGAACUCCAGGGCUGACUUGAGGCCUAUAAGGCAAUGUAAGGAUACAGCACGCUUCCAUUUAGGAGAGAGACAAGACAGUUAAAGCAUGCUGGCUAUGCAAAAUACACACAAAACUUUUCCAAGGAAGCACACUGGUGAUAGAACUAAGGGAGAAAAAAUGCUUGACUUGAAGAACUAUUGAUGGCUUUUCACCUAAGAGAUUUGGAUCAGAUAAUCAAAAUAUAUUACAUGGAAAUGAUCACAGAAGCCAACAGCAGAGAGAGGCCGAUUUCACGUAUAGACAGUACAUACGCGAAGCAUCGCCCUAAAGUUCACAAAAGAGGAGUGAGUUACUUUGCAGUAAAUAGAAGAAGUGGAGAGAAAACACAGUUUUCCAUUGGGCAAGAAACAAAAAAUGAAAAUGAACAAUGAAUUUGUUUGUCUGCCCCAAAAUUUUUGACUACCUAAACAACAAAUAAUCCAGUGUGCUUGUGGGUAACUGGCAAGAAAAAUCAGAGAGGGAAAGGGAAACUGGCCACUCAGCUAGUUGCCAUGAAUUAGCAUUUAGACAUUGUUCUCCAGAAUUUUUCCACAGAAACAUGCCCAUUAGGAAACAGGUGAUCCACUUUGUUAUGUAUUGAACAUCUUUCUUUACUAGCCUUGAAAACAAACUCAUAUGAAGAACAGUUUAUUAACUGGUAAGAAGCAAAAUAUAUCUAUCCACCUCAUUUAUUAGACCUGCUUCUGAGGAGUUCCCUACUGUUCAGGAAAGGCACAUGCAAAACAAAUCCUGACCUCAGUCAGCGAUUCUGCCCUCUAAGGAUGCUCUCUCUGUCUGUAUGUAUGUGUGUGAGAUUUCUGAGUGUAUAGCAUUAGCUACAUUUCAUGUGAUUCCUAGAAGAACUCCCCAUACAUUAUGUAGGUAUCAAUAUUUUUCUCAUGGUAACAUCUGCUAUUUUCUAAGGGAACGAAUAGAAAACACCUAGAGCAACGUAGGCUGCAGUGUCCUAAACAAGCUGCAAGCAAGCU